Molecule: ribosomal RNA, 498 nt
Filed under: uncultured bacterium
Lineage: Bacteria
Description: bacterial SSU rRNA
Rfam family: Bacterial small subunit ribosomal RNA
Source: RNAcentral
ACUCAAAGGAAUAGACGGGGGCCCGCACAAGCGGUGGAGCAUGUGGUUUAAUUCGACGCAACGCGAAGAACCUUACCUGGGCUCGAAAUGCUAUGGACCGGGGUAGAAAUAUCCCUUCCCCGCAAGGGGCCGUAGUAUAGGUGCUGCAUGGCUGUCGUCAGCUCGUGUCGUGAGAUGUUGGGUUAAGUCCCGCAACGAGCGCAACCCUUAUCCCCAGUUGCCAUCAUUUAGUUGGGCACUCUGGUGAAACCGCCUCGGAUAACGGGGAGGAAGGUGGGGAUGACGUCAAGUCCUCAUGGCCUUUAUGUCCAGGGCUACACACGUGCUACAAUGGCCGGUACAAACCGUCGCAAACCCGCGAGGGGGAGCUAAUCGGAAAAAGCCGGCCUCAGUUCGGAUUGCAGUCUGCAACUCGACUGCAUGAAGCUGGAAUCGCUAGUAAUCGCGGAUCAGAAUGCCGCGGUGAAUACGUUCCCGGGCCUUGUACACACCGCCCGU